CCUACGGGUGGCAGCAGUGGGGAAUAUUGCGCAAUGGGCGCAACCCUGACCCAGCAACGCCGCGUGAAGGAAGAAGUCUUUCGGGUUGUAAACUUCUUUUGUCAGGGACGAAGCAAGUGACGGUACCUGACGAAUAAGCCACGGCUAACUACGUGCCAGCAGCCGCGGUAAUACGUAGGUGGCAAGCGUUAUCCAGAUUUAUUGGGUGUAAAGGGCGUGUAGGCGGGAAUGCAAGUCAGAUGUGAAAGCUAGGGGCUCAACCCAUAGCCUGCAUUUGAAACUGUAUUUCUUGAGUGCUGGAGAGGCAAUCGGAAUUCCGGGUGUAGCGGUGAAAUGCGUAGAUAUACGGAGGAACACCAGUGGCGAAGGCGGAUUGCUGGACAGUAACUGACGCUGAGGCGCGAAAGCGUGGGGAGCAAACAGGAUUAGAUACCCCAGUAGUC
This 443-nucleotide ribosomal RNA is filed under the name uncultured bacterium. Its description in RNAcentral is "partial 16S ribosomal RNA". It matches the Rfam family "Bacterial small subunit ribosomal RNA", at positions 338 to 795 of the family's 1533-position model. The record is from RNAcentral.